UACGAAGGUCCCAAGCGUUAUCCGGAUUUAUUGGGUUUAAAGGGUGCGUAGGCGGGUUAUUAAGUCAGUGGUGAAAGCCUACAGCUUAACUGUAGAACUGCCAUUGAUACUGAUGAUCUUGAGUAUGAUUGAGGUUGGCGGAAUGUGUCAUGUAGCGGUGAAAUGCUUAGAUAUGACACAGAACACCGAUUGCGUAGGCAGCUCACUAAACUGUAACUGACGCUGAGGCACGAAAGCGUGGGGAGCAAACAGG
RNAcentral lists this ribosomal RNA (253 nucleotides) under uncultured bacterium. RNAcentral's name for it is "partial 16S ribosomal RNA". It matches the Rfam family "Bacterial small subunit ribosomal RNA", at positions 524 to 776 of the family's 1533-position model. The record is from RNAcentral.